Molecule: RNA transcript, 3212 nt
Organism: Pieris rapae (cabbage white)
Lineage: Eukaryota; Metazoa; Arthropoda; Insecta; Lepidoptera; Pieridae
Gene name: regucalcin
Exons: 6
Source: RefSeq, a predicted model, not a curated record
CUAUAUUGUGAUUUUACUUUACAUUUUUAUUUUACUUAAGGUGAAAUAUAUUAAGCUCCCAAACUAAAUAUUCUAAUUUCAAAUGUCGACAUUUAUUCGAACCGAUGUUACUUGUGUAAAGUUUUACAAACAGUUCGUGUUAGCAGGGAUCGGCAGUGUUUUGCAUGUAUUUUUAAAAAAUGUAAACAAAUUAAAACAAAAAUUAGGCGUGUUAAAUGGGCAAAAAAUCUAUGGAAUUGUUCCUUCGGAAACAGACAAUAAAUUAAUAAUAUUCGGUGGCAAACAGAUAGCAAUCGUUGAGCUUGAUCUAAAAAAGGAUGUUUUUUAUUGCUGUUUCAUGCCUAUAUUGUGUGAUGACUGGGUUCAUUCAGCUGUAUGGAAAUCAAGUAAUAUAAUUGCAAUACUAACUGCUCACAAUGUUGUGGAGACAUGGAAUACAGAAUUUCAAAUUAUGUGCAGUCAGAAUAAGAGUAAAGAGAACUCAAUUUUAUACUGUGGCCUACUAGUUAAUCUUCUAGAUGAUGUAUUAGUACUAAGUGGUACUGUUUUUUCUGAGGUUCUACUGAGAUUUCCCAGUGAAGAAACAUUUUAUUCAUUAAAAGGGCAUAAGGGUGUCAUAUUUUCAAUUACAUGUGACUACAAAAGAGGAAUUAUAAUAACAACUUCAGACGAUAGGUCAGUGAGAAUCUGGAAAGUUCAAUCCCGAAUUGAAAUAAAAUUUGACACCAAGGUAUCUUGGACAAAUGUGGAAGAUAUACCAUGUCUACAUGAGUUAUAUGGUCAUGGGGCUAGAGUGAUGAGAAAUUGUAUUAUCAGUGAUUAUGUUGUAUCUGUGGGGGAAGAUUCAGCUAUAUGCUAUUGGGACAUUUAUGGAAAUCUUCUUAGAAAAGUAACAUCCCAUAACAAUUCUUGUAUAUGGUCAUUAGAUGCAGAAGACAACUACUUAGUGACUGGAGGAGGAGACAGUGCAGUAAUUAUUCAUCCUUUAUCAGUAAUAACAGAAUACAAUAAAAAUAGUCUAAACCUAGAUUUGAAUAUUACAUCACCAAAAAAAAUUGCUUUUACUGCUCAAAGGAAUAUAGUCAUUAUGACAGACUGCAAUGAGUUAAUUUUCUACAAUGCUAAUUCUAAUAUUAAAACUGAGUUUAAACUAAGACAUGAAACUACCUAUAGACUCUUAAGUAUUUCAUUUUGUAAACAACUUAUAGCUGUAGUAGAUAUGUUAGGAAAAUUUGAUGUCUUUAUUGAAAAUUGCAAAGAAAAUGUUAUAAAUAAUAUCAUAGAUACAAAACUUGAUGUUGGGAAAAUAAUGUCCAUGCACUGGGCAGGAAACCGCCAUUUAGUAUUUUGUGCUGAAUUGGGAAGAAUAACUAUUCUGACUGCUGAUAAUAAUAAAAUUGAUAUCUUUGCCACAUUUAAUUUACCAAAGUGUAAAGAGAGAUGGCUGACAGCAGUAGCUAUAAAUGGAAGCAAUCUUAUAGCAGGAGACCGAUGUGGUAACAUACAUAUAUAUGCUAAAGGAGAAAUGGAACCAAUUAAAACAUUUAAGCACAUUCAUGGAAGAUAUGGCCCAACAUCAAUAAAAAUACUCAAUAACACUGACUUUAUAACCACUGGUCGAGAUGGAUGUAUAAAAUACUUCUCUUUGACUAGGUAUUUGUAUAGCAGAGACCUUGAUUAUCCCUGGGUUGAAAGAUUUGUUGACAAGAAUAAUAGGUAUGUGUGUGGUUUUCAAGAGCGGACCUUCAUUGUAUUUGAUAUUGUACAUAAUAUAAAGGUUUUAGAAGUACAAUGUGGGGGAGGACAUAGGUCCUGGGAUGUAAUGCGCUACAUACAGAAGAGCAAUGAAGAUUUUGAUGAAUUUAUUUCAUUUAUUUAUAUCAAGGAGUCAAACAUAAAUUCACACAUAUUUCAAUUAAAUAAAAUAAUGUCCAGAAAUAUUGUCACUGGAACACACUCAAAAGAAAUCAACUGUUUGGAAUCUUAUAAACAUUCUUUAGAUUCAUCGCUAACAUAUUUUGUAUCAGGUGGUGAAGAUACCACUUUGCGCAUAUCAAGUUUAAACUCUGAAAAUCAACUCAAAGAGGAAUUAAUAUUUAGACACUUAUCCAGUAUCAGAACAGUAAAAUUAAGAGAAUUACAUGAUAAUUCUUUGCUUGUGGUAUCUGCAGGUGGUCGAGCACAAAUCUGUAUACGGAGGAUUUUAUUUAAGAAGAUUGCAGGCAGCAUUCAUGUUUCAGGACAUGAAUUGGUGAAUCAUAUGAUAAAAGGAACUGACAAAGAACGUACAGAAAGUCGUAAAAGAGGUAGUGAAACUGAUUUUGAUCCUGAAACAAGAGUGAUGGAUCUAGAAAUUUUAAGCUCAGAUAAUGUGAAGUUUUUAAUAUUUGUUGGAUGCUCUGAUGGUAAAAUUAGAACAUUAGAGUUUAAUCUGCACAAUAAUGAAGUGAAUAAUGUAGAUUAUAUUGAAAAAGGCUUAUGUUUUUUAAAAGUGAAAUUAUUAGAACUCCCCGCAAGAAGGAUGUUAAUAUGUUCUACAUCACAUGCUUCCUUGUAUAUCUGGGAUAUGCCACAGUUUAUUAAAGACUUUGAGCAGCACUAUACAAUUCAUAAAUCUGGCGUAAAUUGUAUUGCUACAGCAAUUAUUUCUGAUACUGACUUUUUAAUGGCUACUGGAGGGGAUGAUAAUGCAGUGUCUUUGAAUUAUAUGUCUUUAGAAGAGUAUAGGGUGGUUAGGAAGGAGGUAUGGACAAGCGAGACUAGCCAUUGCUCUCAAGUGACAGGUGUCCUAUUAGUAGACAACCUUCUUGUGUCAUCAUCCAUAGACCAAAGAGUGACGGUAUUUGAAUGGUCUCUUCUCGAUGGACUCAAGUGUCAGUUUAGGUCCCAAGUGUUUAGCGAUAUAGCUGACAUACAGGGUAUACAACUUCUUCAAAGUGAUAAGUCAUCAUUGACAGUUUGUGUAUUUGGGAAAGGCAUGGAAGUGAUGGUGAUCCAACGCCCCCCGCCGCUGUAACACUAGUAUUAACUUUAAACUAGAUAGAUAAAAGUACAAGAUCUUCUGGAUUAACAGAGACAUGUCGGUGAAAGUAAGUGCAGUGACGGCGCCCGUGUGGUUGGGCGAGGGUCCACACUGGUCUCACGACCACAAGGCUCUGUACUUUGUCAGUAUCUUCGACCGCUCCGUACAUAAGUAUGACCCUAGUACUGGC